This 414-nucleotide ribosomal RNA is filed under the name uncultured bacterium. RNAcentral's name for it is "bacterial SSU rRNA". It matches the Rfam family "Bacterial small subunit ribosomal RNA", at positions 356 to 767 of the family's 1533-position model. The record is from RNAcentral.
GAGGAAUAUUGGUCAAUGGGUGCAAGCCUGAACCAGCCAUCCCGCGUGAAGGACGACUGCCCUAUGGGUUGUAAACUUCUUUUGUAUAGGGAUAAACCUACCCUCGUGAGGGUAGCUGAAGGUACUAUACGAAUAAGCACCGGCUAACUCCGUGCCAGCAGCCGCGGUAAUACGGAGGGUGCAAGCGUUAUCCGGAUUUAUUGGGUUUAAAGGGUGCGUAGGCGGCCCUGCAAGUCAGCGGUGAAAUGUGGCGGCUCAACCGUUUCGCUGCCGCUGAUACUGUAGGGCUUGGAUGCGGUCGAGGCGGGUGGAAUUCGUGGUGUAGCGGUGAAAUGCAUAGAUAUCACGAGGAACGCCGAUAGCGAAGGCAGCUCGCCGGGCCGCGAUCGACGCUGAGGCACGAAAGCGUGGGGA